CCUACGGGCGGCAGCAGUGAGGAAUAUUGGUCAAUGGGCGCGAGCCUGAACCAGCCAAGUCGCGUGAGGGAAGACGGCCCUAUGGAUUGUAAACUUCUUUUGUCGGGGAGCAAAAGACGCCACGCGUGGCUUUCCGAGAGUACCCGAAGAAUAAGCAUCGGCUAACUCCGUGCCAGCAGCCGCGGUAAUACGGAGGAUGCGAGCGUUAUCCGGAUUUAUUGGGUUUAAGGGGUGCGCAGGCGGAAGAUCAAGUCAGCGGUAAAAUUGAGAGGCUCAACCUCUUCGAGCCGUUGAAACUGGUUUUCUUGAGUGAGUGAGAGGUAUGCGGAAUGCGUGGUGUAGCGGUGAAAUGCAUAGAGAUCACGCAGAACUCCGAUUGCGAAGGCAGCAUACCGGCGCUCAACUGACGCUCAUGCACGAAAGUGUGGGUAUCGAACAGGAUUAGAUACCCUAGUAGUC
RNAcentral lists this ribosomal RNA (459 nucleotides) under uncultured bacterium. Its description in RNAcentral is "partial 16S ribosomal RNA". It matches the Rfam family "Bacterial small subunit ribosomal RNA", at positions 338 to 795 of the family's 1533-position model. The record is from RNAcentral.